Molecule: ribosomal RNA, 499 nt
Filed under: uncultured bacterium
Lineage: Bacteria
Description: partial 16S ribosomal RNA
Rfam family: Bacterial small subunit ribosomal RNA
Source: RNAcentral
GAUGAACGCUGGCGGCGUGCCUAAUACAUGCAAGUCGAGCGAACAGACGAGAGUGCUUGCACUCUCUGACGUUAGCGGCGGACGGGUGAGUAACACGUGGGUAACCUACCUAUAAGACUGGGAUAACUUCGGGAAACCGGAGCUAAUACCGGAUAAUAUUUAGCUUCGCAUGAAGCAAUAGUGAAAGACGGUUCUGCUGUCACUUAUAGAUGGACCCGCGGUGUAUUAGCUAGUUGGUGAGGUAACGGCUCACCAAGGCAACGAUACAUAGCCGACCUGAGAGGGUGAUCGGCCACACUGGGACCGAGACACGGCCCAGACUCCUACGGGAGGCAGCAGUAGGGAAUCUUCCGCAAUGGACGAAAGUCUGACGGAGCAAUGCCGCGUGAGUGAAGAAGGUUUUCGGAUCGUAAAACUCUGUUGUAAGGGAAGAACAAGUACGUUAGUAACUGAACGUACCUUGACGGUACCUUACCAGAAAGCCACGGCUAACUACGUG